UGGUGCGCUGUACGAGCCAGUUCGUCGGCUUGUGUGAGCUGGGUUUAUUUGGAGGAGACUUCAUCAGCACAAUGCACGAAAUGGGGAACUAAGCUUUAGGGCCGUCAGCCGUUGGUGCUUCUCCUGUUUGCUGGCUUUGUUUGCACCGAUGCUCAAGAUAUGAAAAAAGGAGCGAAUAUCAAUUUCUGCACUCAUAAAUAUUCACUAUCUGCUGCAAGUGAUGUUCCCGUGAAGAUUCGGAGCUUGGACGAAGAGACGGGCGGCUAGGCUAUGCUUGGUUACAUAUGAUGCAGGGUUACCGAGCGAGACAACAAAAAAAUGCCUUUGAGUUUUUGCGCGUAGAUGGAAUAUUUAAUUUACAUGGCAAACCACUAUACAAUCCAGGCUCACCCAUUCACCAUUCCCAUGGUAUACAUAUGAACAAGAUGCGAGU
RNAcentral lists this small RNA (433 nucleotides) under Histoplasma capsulatum. Its description in RNAcentral is "hypothetical RNA". RNAcentral also lists the same sequence under 1 other name. The record is from RNAcentral. Lineage: Eukaryota; Fungi; Ascomycota; Eurotiomycetes; Onygenales; Ajellomycetaceae.